Molecule: ribosomal RNA, 433 nt
Filed under: uncultured bacterium
Lineage: Bacteria
Description: partial 16S ribosomal RNA
Rfam family: Bacterial small subunit ribosomal RNA
Source: RNAcentral
AACGAACGCUGGCGGCAUGCCUAACACAUGCAAGUCGAACGAGACCUUCGGGUCUAGUUGCGCACGUGUGCGUAACGCGUGGGAACCUGCCCUUAGGUUCGGAAUAACUCCCCGAAAGGGGUGCUAAUACCGGAUAAUGUCUUCGGACCAAAGAUUUAUCGCCUUUGGAUGGGCCCGCGUUGGAUUAGCUAGUUGGUAGGGUAAAAGCCUACCAAGGCGACGAUCCAUAGCUGGUCUGAGAGGAUGAUCAGCCACACUGGGACUGAGACACGGCCCAGAAUCCUACGGGAGGCAGCAGUGGGGAAUAUUGGACAAUGGGCGAAAGCCUGAUAAAGCAAUGCCGCGGGAGUGAUGAAGGGCUUAGGGUUGUAAAGCUCUUUUACCCGGGAUGAUAAUGACAGUACUGGGAGAAGAAGCACCGGCUAACUACGUG